RNAcentral lists this ribosomal RNA (644 nucleotides) under Enterococcus mundtii. RNAcentral's name for it is "bacterial SSU rRNA". It matches the Rfam family "Bacterial small subunit ribosomal RNA", at positions 888 to 1532 of the family's 1533-position model. The record is from RNAcentral. Lineage: Bacteria; Bacillati; Bacillota; Bacilli; Lactobacillales; Enterococcaceae.
GCAAGGUUGAAACUCAAAGGAAUUGACGGGGGCCCGCACAAGCGGUGGAGCAUGUGGUUUAAUUCGAAGCAACGCGAAGAACCUUACCAGGUCUUGACAUCCUUUGACCACUCUAGAGAUAGAGCUUCCCCUUCGGGGGCAAAGUGACAGGUGGUGCAUGGUUGUCGUCAGCUCGUGUCGUGAGAUGUUGGGUUAAGUCCCGCAACGAGCGCAACCCUUAUUGUUAGUUGCCAUCAUUUAGUUGGGCACUCUAGCAAGACUGCCGGUGACAAACCGGAGGAAGGUGGGGAUGACGUCAAAUCAUCAUGCCCCUUAUGACCUGGGCUACACACGUGCUACAAUGGGAAGUACAACGAGUCGCGAAGUCGUGAGGCUAAGCUAAUCUCUUAAAGCUUCUCUCAGUUCGGAUUGUAGGCUGCAACUCGCCUACAUGAAGCCGGAAUCGCUAGUAAUCGCGGAUCAGCACGCCGCGGUGAAUACGUUCCCGGGCCUUGUACACACCGCCCGUCACACCACGAGAGUUUGUAACACCCGAAGUCGGUGAGGUAACCUUUUUGGAGCCAGCCGCCUAAGGUGGGAUAGAUGAUUGGGGUGAAGUCGUAACAAGGUAGCCGUAUCGGAAGGUGCGGCUGGAUCACCUCCUU